AGGUUCCCUCAGAAUGGUUGGAAAUCAUUCAUAGAGUGUAAAGGCAUAAGGGAGCUUGACUGCGAGACCUACAAGUCGAGCAGGGUCGAAAGACGGACUUAGUGAUCCGGUGGUUCCGCAUGGAAGGGCCAUCGCUCAACGGAUAAAAGCUACCCCGGGGAUAACAGGCUUAUCUCCCCCAAGAGUUCACAUCGACGGGGAGGUUUGGCACCUCGAUGUCGGCUCAUCGCAUCCUGGGGCUGUAGUCGGUCCCAAGGGUUGGGCUGUUCGCCCAUUAAAGCGGUACGCGAGCUGGGUUCAGAACGUCGUGAGACAGUUCGGUCCCUAUCCGUCGUGGGCGUAGGAAAUUUGAGAGGAGCUGUCCUUAGUACGAGAGGACCGGGAUGGACAUACCUCUGGUGUACCAGUUGUCGUGCCAACGGCAUAGCUGGGUAGCUAUGUGUGGACGGGAUAAGUGCUGAAAGCAUCUAAGCAUGAAGCCCCCCUCAAGAUGAGAUUUCCCAACUUCGGUUAUAAGAUCCCUCAAAGAUGAUGAGGUUAAUAGGUUCGAGGUGGAAGCAUGGUGACAUGUGGAGCUGACGAAUACUAA
This 589-nucleotide ribosomal RNA is filed under the name Staphylococcus aureus. RNAcentral describes it as "partial 23S ribosomal RNA". It matches the Rfam family "Bacterial large subunit ribosomal RNA", at positions 2314 to 2904 of the family's 2925-position model. Lineage: Bacteria; Bacillati; Bacillota; Bacilli; Caryophanales; Staphylococcaceae. The record is from RNAcentral.